GCCCGUCCCGCUCGCUGCAGCGCCGCCGAGCCCCGCCCCCGCCGCGGCUCCGCCUCCCGGGGGCGCGCGCGCACACCGGCCGAAGGGCUCUCGCGGCCCCGGUGGCGGUGGGCGUUUUUCGGCGGAGCCCUCUCCAGAACUUGAUGCCUGAACCAGGAAGAGCCUUUCACAAUCCCUUUUCCUAUUCAAACUGCAUUUACCUGAUUGCUAGCUAAUGGGUCUCCACAUCAGAUCACAACUGUUCACAGUGAACUCAGAACAUGAGAAGAGAAAAAGGAAGCUUCUCGUUCUCCCAAAUGGAUCUCUUAAGCGUGAAGCUGAUGGGAUGCCAGCAGAAUGUUAGCAGCUACAUCCACUGAUACUGCUUUGACUUUUGAGAAGUACAACUCCCGACUGAGUUCAGCUUGCCCUGCAACCACAAGGCUAUGGUUGAGAACUGCAAGGCAAAUCCAAUCCAAGGAGGAAGCAAUUCUUUCUGGCUGCUGUAAAAAUUCUUGACCAAGGAAAAUUAUUUCUUUAUUCUUACAUCUUCUUUAACAAGCUUGGACAACACAGUGGUCAACUUGGUGAUUGCCGGUGGAAUGCAAGCAAGCUCACCACAGUAACUGGAGUGAGUGAAGAAAGACUGUCAAAAAUAAAAAAGAUGGUCAACAAACCUUAUAAAUUCACCUUCCUCUCAAAGGCCAUUUGCUACUUCAGUUGCUACAGUUUGCCUUUGAAGCAAGAUAAACCACAGCUCUGUUGCAUCUCUGGGCCAUCCACAUCGCCAUGAAGAAAAUGUCACUUAUCACUGAAAGAGAGCAUUAAAUUAAGGCAAACAAUUUAUAACGGGGAAAUUUCUGUGUUGGAAUCCCCUUCUCUGAAUUGAACAGCACUAGUAAUUGAACAGUGACAUUCACCUGUGGAGACUUUUACAACUCAUACUCUUCAGAGAGAAAGAAGAUGUCUAAGAACAUACGUGAACACAGGAAAUGCCCCACUGGAUCAGACUGGGGAUCUUUUUUUUUUUUUUUCUGACAGUGACAAGAGACCCUGGCACACAUCAGGUACUUUGAGUGUACAUCAAAUGAGGCAGGCUACAGUCUCUCCUCCAGAAAUUCUCACUGAAGUUCUGGCUGCACUGUUUUCUCUCAACUUUUGAUUUAUACAGUCCCUAACCAAGGCCCUUCCAAGCUGCAGGGGCCUCCUCCUUGAUGUCUUCCAGGCCCUGUCCCUGCUGGUUAUUCACGUCACCAGAAGAAGGAAGCUUGAUGGGGGGGAUCCUGGUGACUGUGGGACCUGUGUCCAUUCCAUCAUCCUCUCACAUCUCCAGGCAGAGCAUCACUGGGCAGCAUCCACCUGCUCCUCGAUUAACCUUUAUGAAGUGUAGGUCAUGUCAGGGUUUGUCUGCGUCAUGCCCUCCUCCAGUUCCCAUCUGUGUAUUUUCAAUCCUGUAACUCUUCCCUUUCUUUCAUUUGUUGUUCAUUGUAGUUAAUUUUUUCCUCCUUGUUUUCCUUACCUUUAGCUCUCUUCCUCCCUAUGGGGGCUUCAAGAUUUUGCUAAUACAUACUUAAACAGAAAAGCAAAUGGAAACAGCAGGAGAAACAAUUUACAGAAUGCACACAAGCUCUGCCACCUUCUUCAGGCCUUCUUCCUUGUAUUCCGCUGGCUUCCAUGGCUGUUAGGAAGGUAAAUCCUUGCCUAGUCCUUUCGCUAUCCAUUUUUGGACCUAUUGUCCAUGAACUUCUCCAAUUCCUGUUUGAACCUCCUGUUGGGAUCUGCUUCCACAACAUCUUUUGGCAGCAAGUCCAGAAAUUCACUACCCACUGUGUAAAGUAAUGUGUUCUUUUUAUCUUUUAAACUAACUUCACCAAAUGAGCCAAACCCUGCAAUUUGAUGAAAAGUCAUAGAAUCACAGAGUGGUUUGGGUUGGAAGGGACCUCAAAGGUCAUCUAGUUCCACACCCCCUGCUGCAGGCAGGGACACCCUCCACUAGACCAGGUUGCUCAAAGCCCCAUCCAACCUGGCCUUGAACACUUCCAGGGAUGGGGCAUCCACAACUUCUCUGGGCAACCUCUUCCAGUGCCUCACCGCUCUCACAGGGAAGAUUUUCUUCUAAUCUAAAUCGGCCCUCUUUUAGUUUAAACCCAUUACCCCUUGUGCUAUCACUACAUGCCCUUGUAACCAGUCCCUCUCCAGCUUUCCUGUAGGCCCCUUUAGGUACUAGAAGGCUGCUAUAAGGUCUCCCUGGAGCCUUCUCUUCUCCAGGCUGAACCAACCCAACUCUCUCAGCCUGUCUUCAUAGGAGAGGUGCUCCAGCCCUCGGAUCAUCUUCCUGGCCCUCCUCUGGACUCACUCCAACAUGUCCAGGACUUGCUCCAACAGAUCCAUAUGGUUCCAUAUUCAUAUUUUCAGCCACCUUUAUUUCGUAAACCUUGAACGAGUCUCACCAUAGCACUCUCCUAGUGGAAAAGUUUCAUAUUUUUUAGUCUGAUCUCAUAAGGCAGCCACUGCCUUUAAUCCCUUUAAUGAUUUCAGUUGUCUUCUCUGCAUCUUCCUUAACUCUACCAUGUACUUUUCCAGAUAGCAAGACCAGAAAUAUAUAGAGCAUUCAAAAUGUGGAUACAAUAGAGUUACACUAGAGUUGAGGCAAAAUUAUUCUCUCUCGCUACUAUUUCAGAUGUUGCCAAACACCUUUCUUGCCUUUUGUUUGAAUGCUACUACAAAUUGACCCAGUGAUUUCACAGAGCUUCAGUCUCAAUAACUCUAACAUUUCUGUUCUGAGUUGUAUCUGGUCGUUAGAUCUGGCGAUACUAUGUGAUAAUCUGUGUGCUUCAGAGAAAGCCAACUCAUUUAGCCAAUUAAAUAGUGUUGUUAAUUUUUAGAAGUGAUGGUAACCUAUACAGGUUCAGAAUUUCAUUCUGAAUCCUGUGAAUGAUUACUUUUAUAAUUUCUUGUAUAAUGUAUGAAUAUGUCUAUUGGUCCCAGUGUUGUAGGUCUUCCAAAGGAACAGCUCUACUUUGAGCAAAGUGGAAUUCUUAUUUAAAUAAGCUCAAACAUAUUUUUGUUAUGAGGUAGAUGAGGUGAAAACACUGUAGAUACAGAUCCUAGAUAGGAAGACAGCAGCAGCAAAUUAGAGUUACCUUUGGAGCAGUACCUGAGUCCUGCAAUAGAAAAGUCAGCUUCUUCCUUUGUGGCUGGUGAUCUGCAUGCUGACUAGAUAAGGAGGAAGGGAAUGGGUGCUCCUUAAUCAUCAUUGUGAUCUUUGCAGGUUUUUAUUUCUUUUCUAAUUUCAUUUCUACUUUUUAGAUACACAAAUGCCAAAAGUGAACAGUUAGGAGGUUGUUAUCAGAGACUUUAUGACAUUGAGCUGUUUGUGUGUGUAUGUGUACAUAUACCCCUUGUAGGUGUACCCUUUGAUUUGAAGGCCUUGCACUAGAGUUCAAACAGAUACAGGCUGAAGAACGAAUUUUUUUCUUAUCCAUUUUACUUAGAGAAGUAAUGGCUUCCUAGUGAUCAGACGUUUUGCGUGUUACAUUUUGCUUGGCACAUUUGUUCUUGUCUAUUCAGUAUCCACAUGAAACAACAAUGUAGGGCACCUGUAAAGGCAGUCACACAAAUGGACAGCACACUAUUCUUUUAUAAGGCUCUUUGCUAUUUUAGUUUUUUAUUUUAAAAAUCCAGACAUUUUUAUUCAGUUUUCUAGCAAAUAAAAGAAGGUGCUACCUGUUGUUUUUUUUAAGGGGGAGGGUUGUAAAAUAUCCAAAGAAUAAGUAAAAUAUCCAUUUAAAAAUGAGCAAUUUGACCUUAUUCUGUUCUUAGUAAUGUUGAUUACUGGGGAGAAAAGGAUUGUUAAUGUGAAAGCUCCAUGUCCCUUUAAAGCACCUCUUGUGUUAUUAAAAGUAAACAUGUUUGAAGAAUCAACCUUUUGCUAACAAUCAGCAUACUCCUUUCCCUUUUUGUCUUCAAGUAGACCAGCUGACGCCAGCUCUGAUUUUUUUUUUUUUCCCCCAUGCAAGGAGGUCGUUACAGCAAAGAUGUAUUUUAACCCACCAACUUGGAAAAAUAAAACCAUCCUUUUUUCAAUUUCAGAUCAUGUUUACCGAAGCUUAUUUCUCCUGAUUGCUCUAUAUAAAGUCCUUUCUAAUAUUAUGAUUGAUGCCUAUAAAUACACAGGCAGUGAGAUGGCAAUCACCAAAGAAGGAGAAGAACUAUGAAUAAAUUUGGGCUUGAAAUUUAGAACAUUUCUAAUCAUCAGAAAAAUCAGGUUCUGGAACAGCUUUUCAGCAGAAGUCACGGUGGGAUGAACUCUUUUCAGAACAAAGAUGACAUCUGUGAUUUCUAGCUCUGCCAAUUUAAUCAGAAGGCUGUAAGACAACCUGUAGUCUGUCUUUCUUGUGCAGAACAGACAAAAAAACCCCUGUAUUCUACAGUCUGAGCAUCCUACUGUCUAUGUGGAGACAUAGCUACAGCUCUGUUUUAGGGAUUAAAAGGAGAAAAUCCACAUCUGCUCUGUUAUACCCUGCCUGUGCAGGGAGUGAGCUCUUACUGAGCUGUGGAGUUGCAUUAAAUAACUUCCAUGAAAGCAUCUGUGGAAGUUUUAGACAUGGCUGCUUUUCUGCUGGAGGGCACUGUCAUCCGAGCUGAGCCGGCAGAAAGGCUCAUACAAGUGUUUCUUAUUUGCUUCGGCAAAAGGUCAGCCAAGAUUAGCUCAAAAUACAUUAAGCAAUAGAUUAAACGACGCCAGCUGACUUUGUGCAGAAGUAGAUUAGGAGUACCCACAGAGACUGUUCAACAAGCUGAACUCCAGAGGCAGGUGAACUCUGAAAGAAAGGGCAGUGACAGCUUCUGCCAUUUCUGUGGUGAAUAUCUGACGCAGCCCAGUAGCUAUAUCUAUGCAACCAGUUAUUUCUGCUACCAUCUGAAUGAUAGUCUUUGCACAGUGAGAACCCUUGAAAUAUUAAGCUUGCAACAUUUCUGGACAGGUUGAAAAUACUUCCAGAUUUAUGCAUUCUUGAAUGUUCUCCCAUGGCACAUGGAGAAAUGCUUGAUAGAUGGCAGGAAAAAACAGACAAGAUGGACUUGUGGGUCCAACUCAAAAACUGCCACACUUCCUUUCAUACUGCCCUGAGGCCUGUUUCUUCUUGGCCUGUUUGGAUGCCUCUGUACCACACUGCUGGUCCUUGCAAGUGCUGAAAUGUUGGUGGAGGGGUGUUUGACGCCUUGACCAAUGAACGUCUCAAGGCUAGCGAAUCAACCACAAAAUUACCACACAGCUUUAGCAUGGCACUUGUGCUGACAUGUUUUAGCCCAGCGUAUUCUUAAGGUUGAUCAGCAGAUGCCUACAGGACCAGGAUAAGAAACAGGCCAUGUACCAAAUAAUUACGUCUGGUUUCCAGCAGUCAGUGACUUGUGAACUUCCUAAAUUAUUCUUCCUAGAUGUUACAUCCUGACUGCUGUGUUUAAUGGCUACACGUGGACUUUCACUUCAUUGUUGUUGAGGGGUUUUUUUACUACUUUUUUUAAUCCACUUAUGCUUUUGACCUCCAUAGCAUCUCAUGGCAAUGAGUUCCACAAUUUAAUUAUACAUUAAAAGAAGGACUGGCUUGCGGGACUGACAAUGCACAGAAGCUACGCAUUCCUCAAAGGCUGUUUGCCAUUUUCGUGCUCUCAUUGCAAAGUUCCAGCCUGCAGGGACACAUACAGAAGCUAGAAAUGGAAAAGAUCCAUUAUAUCAUAGUGUUAGCUCCAGCCUUAAUAGAAAAUGUUUCAGUCACAGCUUGACAUGAUAACAUCAGUGUACUUAACAGAUACAGCGGGUCUCAGAACAGUCUGCAGGGUGCGAAAACAAAACGACUUCUCUAGCCUCCAGGGUAGUUUUUUCCGCAACAGAAGGAACAGGGCAGGAUUUGUGUUAGAGCUACUGUGAGCAACUCUUUUGGAAUAGUUGAUAUUUUGAGUAGGCCUGUCAUUUUCCUGACAAUUGUAGGUCUAAAGGUAUUGCCUCGCCUUCAACAGUUGCUAGACCAAUACUGUGUGCAUUUGUUUGUAUAUGCAUUAUAGAGAUGACAUUGUCAUAUUACUAAAUCACAGUUUGUAAGUAUCUUCAUGGGCAAUAUGGUUGGUUUUCAGUACCAUAAACAUUGGUUAAAGAAGAGGCAAUAAAUGGUUGAAAGCUUGCCACAAACUGCCAGUCUAAAAGUAGAGCUCAGUCUUGAGCCACGAAGGUAGUAAAUCACUGGGGUGAUUUUCUAAGGAUUAUGCAGGAUUGUCUCUCACUUGAAAUUGUUUGAUCAAUAGUGGGUUUGGUUUUUUUCCCUAAAGCUCGUUUUCUAUUUUAAAGUAGUAGGAAUUUAGGGAAGCAUUGCAUCACUGUAUUUUAGAUCACAGUGGUGAUGUUUAAGAUUAUAUAAAGUAUGGAAAUAGGAUAAAGGAAGAACUCAGAAUACCCAUAACUAUUGAAAGACGUAAUUUGCUCUGGAAUAACUCAGAGGAAAUAAAUAUCAGUUAGUUUAAACAACUCCUUUGGUAAUCUACUGAGGGCUUUUCCUAACAAACACCACCACUACAGAUUUGUAUAAUACUUUUAUUUAGCGGUAAUCCAAAGUGGUAUACAGAUGGUAUAUGGGAUUAUUUCAUGGAUCUCUAAAAAGCAAUCUCUUCUCGAGUAGAAAAAUUGUAAUUAUUCUCUGUCAACAAUAAUACAUUGUAUGCUGUAUCAGCAGUGUAGUUUCUGGAUACCUGGGGUAUAAUUCCAUCUAUAGACAGAAUAUAUGACCUACUGUCUGUUUUCCUUUUUUGAGAAAAUGAUGAAACAAAUGUUGAAGAAAAUGUCUAACUAUAGCUGGAAAACCUUCCUCCAAACCAAUGCUCAGUAUCUGAUUAAGAUAUCAUGGAUUUUACAUGAACUCAUCUAUUUUUCUCUCUGAGAGGAAAAAAUACAUUACCUUUUUUUUUCUCUCAAGAAGUUUUAAUUCCUUCAGUCCUGCUAGUGGAUGAAAAGCUUUAUUUCCUUCUUUUUUUAAUGGAAAUUUCUAAGCCUUAUGAUUGUAGAGAAAAGAUUAAAAGUCUGCAGCAAAGAUUCAAUAAUUGUAAAUCAAAUAAACCCCAUGAACCCCAUAUUUCUUUUAAAAUUCCCUGAUGCUUGAGGGCAAUAAUAUGGAUCUUAGCAACUGGGACAAGACUCUUCUGUGCUUGGGGCUGAUAAUAUUGUAAUUCCUACCUCUUUGCUUGUUGUAGAUGAGAAAUAAUUUAGAUUGUGUUAUAGCCUCACUCUGCAUUCCAAGAAAGCUCCAACAAACUCAUACAGAUUAGGUGACUCCAAAGUGAAGAUGUUAUUUUUUUUCAAAUAUAUGUCCUUCAUUCUAAAGUACUCUUGAUUAAUGGGACAUUCAGUGGUAUGCUGAACAGGGAAACCAAGCUUUAAUAACAGGUAAAAUUUUGUAAAACUCAGUAAUUCAUCGCAUCAGCUGCCCAGGUUUAUUUUACCUAGAUAGACUUGAAAUGUCAUAUACAUUUUAAUGAACACACUAUAUACUAUUCCUAGGUUUUAAACCAGGUACAGGUUUAUAAUGUGUGUGAACGUACAUUGCAAGAAGAAGAAAUUGCCAGUUGGUACAUAGCUGAACACAAAAUUGGCAAAAUUCGGUGCAGGGCAGUUAUAUAAAACAGCUCAGUUCUAUCAGUCCAGAUCUCAAAGCUCACCUAAGGUUUUUGAUACAACUUCUAAUUAUUGUAAGUGGCUCUGAUUUAUGUACAUUUCUAACUGCAGCGGGCCAUCCAGACUGCACAUCCAUGUAAGCCACCUAGCAGGCAUAUGGGGACUGUGGAAUAAAUAGAUGCAAGCAGCUCUACAAUUGCUCAUUGGUUUUGGGGAACAAAUGGAUGCCUAGUGAACCAUCAGCAUCACCUCAGUAUGCUUUGGAAGUCUGUUCAAAGCUGCACUUCUCCAUUCUGCUGAGAAAGUGAACUCUCAUAGCUCAAAAUGGUAUAACUGUUUUAUUCAAUAUUCCUAUUUUGUAUUUUUUGAAUACUCCACAUUAAUUUUCAGUGUGAUUCUGUUCCAGGUGUUUGUGCACUACAAAAGGUUUUUGUUUCUAAGUACAUGUUCUGCUAUGGUAAUUAUCCCUCCUGCACUGUAAUUCAAGACUGAAAGUUGAUUUAUUCUCCAUGUGUUCUUUGUAGAAUUAAAUGUGUCACCAUUGUAACUGACUUACUUCUGACAAAGCUGAUCUAAAUAGUUGCAGAAAUGUCUCAUUGCCUUCGCAGUUAUGAGCCCAAUUAACUUGUCAACAUUUUCCAACGGUUAUUUACUACAGAUUUACCACAGCUCUAAUCAGCUAUAGAGGUGGGGAAAAGAAGGACGACUAGGGUAGAGAGUGUCUUUCCUUGCAGUUUUCUAGUGAAAAGUGUAACUGGAGCCUCAUUUCACAAGUAUUCUAGGAUAUGUAGGAUGUUGGAAAUGGUGAUGGGUCAGAAAAUCAUUAAGAGGUUUGUUCAGUGAUUGUGAUCUGACUCUGAAGCCUACUGAAAUUAACUUUUGUACUACUAAUUAUUUCACUCUUGGUUGUUUCAACAGACACAUUUAAAAAUGAGAUAUUAUCCCAUCUGUCUUAGCAUAUUUUAUAUGUCAUUUCACAUGCAAUUUGCUACCUAAAAGCCAGCUUCUGUUAUCUUUGUUCUUCACGUGCUGAGAAAACGUGAAAAUUCAGAAAAAAUCGAGAACAUUGGCUAUUGCUCUGAGAGCAUUCAUCCCUUUCAUAUUUUGCUGCUUUGUGUGUAUUCUGUAUCACCUAAACUAAAUUACUGUAGAUUCUCCUAGGAAAGUUUCACACUGUACGUUGUGUGAUUUAAAUAUAGCUGAGGACCACAAGGGACCUUGCUAGAGUGUGAGUCACUGUGCAUUGCACUUUCUGGAGCUGUUGAAAGGUGCAGAGGUCAGAAGCUGUUGAUCUAGCCUGACACCUUCAGAAUAAACAGUGUUCAGAAUGCCUUCGGUCUUCUCUUAUGGGCAUACAAGCGACGACUACUUUUGAGAGGGGACUGCCCUCACACUGUGGAUCUUUUUUGCCCACCCUGACCAUCACAGUGGCGAAGUGUGCCCUGCUGGCAGCGGGGCAGGAUGCCAGCGGUGGCUGCUGAAGGUUCUCAGCAGCCUCUUCCAGGCCCCCAGACCAUCACCGCCCGCUAGCGAUUCAACAAUACCAUCUGGUGCCGAGUUGGAAUUGCACAGUCCAUUCACUGUCAUGGUGCAUCAUAACCUGCGAUGUUCAAAAGGUUCAUGGCUCUUUGACAGAAGGCAUCUCUCUGUACAUAUCGUGUUCAAGAACCAAAUAGUGAUUGUCUGUCCAUAGAUAUUCAAGUUGCAAUUCUGUUUUUAAGAUACCUAAGGAAUACAUGUAAUCAAUAUAAAACUAAAGUUUCUUUUCUGAGAGGGCACUGUGGCUGAAUGGAAACCAUGGUAACUAGGAUGGCAUCUGCUGGUACCUUGUUCCUGAGUGAUAAAAAUGCACAUAGAGUAGGCUUUGUGCUUAGCAACAAAACCUAAUCAACCAAGUUUUCAAAUAGCCCUCCCUCCAGCCCUCCAUUGCAGCUGCCAGCCUUGUCCCAUGCAGUGUGUAUGCCCAGUCUUUGUACUUCAUGUUCAGUAAUCCAUCCUUUAGGCGUGCAAUAAGCAGCACAAAAUACACUUCACACAAAAGAAAACAAUUUAUUCUUGUUGGCUGUUGCUUUAGAAGAAUACACAACUCUGAUCUCCUUCCCUAUAGAGCUAUUGUGAAGAGUGACUCAUCCCUUGGCCAACAUGUUGGAUGCUCACAUUAAUUAGAAUAUGUGCAUCUAAAGAUUGUUGUAAACACUUGCUGAUAAUAUCAAAUUACUCCCUGGUAUACAAUAGGAAGUAGAAGCAAUUUUAAUACAUUUAAUACAUUAAGCUGUGCAUUUUAAGUCAUGUUAGGGCAACACACUGACAAAAAUUAAUUAGGGAAAUUCUCUAAUUAGCAUACAUUGGCUGCCACACAAAUCAUGUUGGCAUGAAAAAUGGGAAUAAUGCAAAUUGUACUCUACAGUGAUGAUUAAAUAUUUUCUAAACACUAAGCAAUAUUAUAAAAAUUUUUGUUAUCUACCCUGUGUGGCAAAUCUGGAUAAGGAUCCAAUUUAUUUAUAAUAAGAAGAGUGAAAAGAGAUAAACUAUUACUGCCUUCUAGUUAUUGAUGGUACACAUUAAAUAGGCUGACUUUCAUCUCAUAUGCAGUUACUUUCCUCGGUACAGGCAGGUGAAAUGCCCUUAUACUUACCUGGGAUCUAACUGACCCACACAACAGAGCCAGCAUCCGACAGCGCAAGUUGAUGAUCCAGAGACUUCACAAUCUCUCUCAGGAGAUUGUAAGAAAGAACAGGAAUAUUAUGUCUUUCCAAAUGUAGCUAAGCACACUUGAGCAAGCUUAGACUGAUCCCAAAAUCUAAGCUAUUACACUAAUACUAGAAUGAUAAUAUCGUGUGUGUUCAUGCGCGCGUCUUUCUCUGUUGUGCAGAAAUAAAUCGUAUUUGUCUAUAAGCAACAUAUCUUUUUUCUCUUUUUAAAGUUCACUGUUAUUUACUGACUCAGGAUGUAGCAUAACAUAGCAUAAUGCUAUAUCACUGUCUGUUAAAAAGAAGUCUCUGGGGUGUUAGACUAAUUGACUUUAUUAAGAUAAUCUAUAAGAGUGUUCUCACAUGGUCACGUGGUACUUGGAAAUCUUCACAGGGUGCCACUUCACACUGUCAUAGAAGAGUAUAUUUCAGUGUUUUUCAUCCCUCAGACAAAAAAAAAUGUGAACCACAGAAUCUUAACUGAACUGGCAUUAUUUCUGAUAAAUUUACAGAAGCCUCAGAACUAAUUGUGCAUAUUUUUGGUCAUUUCUGUUGGUGGAAACCUGACCAUUUAUGUAAAUAAAUACUCAAAUAUCUAAGUGUCAGGAUCAGGACUUGAGGGUCUAUCUCGUUCCAUUCCCUUGAUGAGGAUAACGGUGCCCCCCAGGCUCAGGUUCACUGGUUCUUCCACAGUCUGAUCUAUAACAGACUUGUUUAUAUCAUAAAGUUUGGUGCCUUAGAAAAUGAGUUACAACUACAAUCUUUUAAAUGUGCAAUAAAUGGAAACAAUUCCUUUCAUAAAGA
Grus americana (Whooping crane) is the source of this 11133-nucleotide long non-coding RNA. RefSeq lists it as uncharacterized. The record is from RefSeq and is a predicted model, not a curated record. NCBI's taxonomy places the organism in Eukaryota, Metazoa, Chordata, Aves, Gruiformes, Gruidae. The transcript is spliced from 6 exons.